UGGGGAAUUUUCCGCAAUGGGCGCAAGCCUGACGGAGCAAUACCGCGUGAGGGAGGAAGGCUCUUGGGUCGUAAACCUCUUUUGUCAGGGAAGAACACAAUGACGGUACCUGAGGAAUAAGCAUCGGCUAACUCCGUGCCAGCAGCCGCGGUAAUACGGAGGAUGCAAGCGUUAUCCGGAAUGAUUGGGCGUAAAGCGUCCGCAGGUGGUCUUGUAAGUCUGUGGUUAAAGNGCGGGGCUCAACUCCGUAAAGGCCAUGGAAACUACAAGACUAGAGUGAAGUAGGGGUAGAGGGAAUUCCCAGUGUAGCGGUGAAAUGCGUAGAGAUNUGGAAGAACACCGGUGGCGAAAGCGCUCUACUGGACCUGCACUGACACUGAGGGACGAAAGCUAGGGGAGCGAAAGGGAUUAGAUACCCCUGUAGUC
This 426-nucleotide ribosomal RNA is filed under the name uncultured Chamaesiphon sp. Its description in RNAcentral is "bacterial SSU rRNA". It matches the Rfam family "Bacterial small subunit ribosomal RNA", at positions 355 to 795 of the family's 1533-position model. The record is from RNAcentral. Lineage: Bacteria; Bacillati; Cyanobacteriota; Cyanophyceae; Gomontiellales; Chamaesiphonaceae.